UUUGAGUUUAAUUUUUCACUAUUAUAUUAUUCAAACUCCCAUCAAUCUCCUUAUUUGUAAGAUUGGCAAAUCAGUAUAAUUUUUUAUUUGUUAGAUCGGCAAACCGCUUCAACUCGAACUUGAUUUUUACCAUAGUGCUGGUCGAUGUAAACACAUUGUCCAUAACUAUCUCGAACCUCUUAUCCUUUUCCUUCAAAAAAAAUUACACAUUUCUCCAUCUAUCUUGAAUUCUGGAUGCUAUUAAAGUCCACUUGGAUUCAGACUUAUCAAUGCUAUUAAAGUCCACUUGGAUUUAGACGACCACUUGGAUUCAGACGAUGAAUUUGGCGGCAUAUAGAAAAUUCUCAAUGCUAUUAAAAUUCACCUGGAUUUCCACUUGGAUUCAGACUUAUCAAUGCUAUUAAAGUCCACUGGAUUUAAACCACCACUUGGAUUCAGAUGAUGAAAUUGGCAGCAUAUAGAAGAUGAUGAAGUUGGCAGCAUAUAGAGACGAGCGUUUGGCGUUGACUCAUAGAAAAGGGAGUUUAGGCUUGUUUCAAACCACCCAACUUAUAAAUCUAUAAAAUACUAAAAAAAUAUAUAUUAAAAAAUUUAUUUUUUGAUUUGAAAAUAAUCAUCUAAUUAUUUCUAAUAAUUUUUAGAUGGAUUCCAAAAACUCAAAUAAAAAAUCUUCCAAAAUAGCAUUUUUUUCCUCAGAGAAUUAAUAUACAAUAUGAUCCUAUUGAAUCAUUUCUCUUCAUGCCCUUGGAAUUAAGAGAAUCUAUUCUAAACAUUCUUAGAUAUUCCUUCUACCAUUCAAUAAAAAAAGAAUGACAAAUUUUAUGGAGGGUGGAUGUUUAGUUUUAUAUCUUAUAUAUGAGAAAGGGAUACAAAAAAAAGGACGGAAAAGAAUUGAUUUUGGGCUUCAUGGAGGACCAUCCCAACGCUCUUCUUGAUUCGUCCUUCUCUUUAGGGUUUUUUUUUGCCAGGUAUUCUUUUUGCGAGGUUAAUAUUUUUUUCUUAUUUUUCUUUGGCCUUACGUGGCUCUUAAUUUAUUUUGUUUCAUUUGUUUUUAAAUUUUUAGUUGUGAUAGUUUUUUUUUUUUACUCUAACCUUUUGUGGAUUUUAAUUUAUUCUUUUUUUUUUUUUUUUUCAUUUGCAGUUUAUAGCGGAGAACCAGAGAAUUCGUUGCUCUUUUCACAUACGUGCGUGCCGUAUACCUAUUUCCCAUUAUUAUGUAAGGUAGCUGAAGGCUUUCAAACCUCAGCACGUGUAGGUUCAGAUUUUGAAAUGUGUUUUCACAUUUUUUUUUUUCUUAUAAAAAAAAAGUACUCAUUAAAAAUAAAGUUAUAUUAUUUGUAAUAAAUAUUUGAUUACUAAAAUAAAUUUUCUAAUUUAGGAUAUAAAAAUUUGAAAUCAAGAUUUUAUUUUUCAAAAUAUUUGGACAAAUCUGAAAUUUUGAAAUUAUUUUUUAAAUUUUUGAUAUUCAAAACUAAAAUUAAGAAUUAUCUUUUCAGAAAAUACAUUAAUUCUUAAUUUCAGAAUUUAAAUUUUUAAAAAAUAGAAAUUAUGUUUUUUUAUAAUUUUUGGAUAAUGAAAAUAUUAAAUUAAUACUCAAUACAAUUUUUAAAAUAACACAAUUCCUACUUUCAUAUUUUUACAACUUUGAUAUUUUAAUUUUAGACUUUUGAAUAAAAACUAACACAAUUCCUACUUUCAUAUUUUCAACUGAAUUAAAAAAAAAAAAAAGAAGAGCUGGCUUGUUUUGAAUGAAUAUUUGAUUAGUAAAAAAUAAUUAGAAUUAAUUUUUUCUAUCCAAAAAUUAAUUUUUGUCUAUCCAAAAAAUUGGAUAUUUAAAAUCCGAAAAAUCCAAAGUCAACGUUUUUCCUAAUUUCAGGGUAUUGAAAAUUUGUAAGGUUUCCUCUAAGUUUUGGAGGUUGAAAAUCUGAAAUUAAGAAUCUAUUUAACAUAAUUCUUAAUUUCGGAUUUUUAAUUAAAAUUAGCACAAUUAUUGCUUUCAUAUUUUCAAUUUUUUUAUUAAAAUUGGAAAUAAUUUUUUCUAUCCAAAAAAAAUUCAAAAUCUGAAAUAACAAAAAUUAUGAUGUUCCUAAUUUCAGGAUAUUGAAAAUUUGAAAUUAACAUUUUAUUUUAUAAAAACAGUUUCAGAGAAAUCUGAAUAUCCAAAGAUAAUUUAAUUUUCAGAAAUUGAAAUUCCCAAAUUAAGAAACAUUUAUUUUAAGAGGAUAAGUUAAUUAUUAGUUUUUUAUUUUUUACUUUCAAAAAUGAGAACUUAAGUUUUUUAAAUUUUUGCAUACUAAUUAAUUUAUUCUAAAAAUUGCAUAAUUCUUUAAUAUAGGUUUUCAAAUAAAAAUUUACAAAGUUCUUACUUUUGAUUUCUUUAUGUACUGAUGUUUGCUCUAAGUUGGUUUAGAACUUCAUUGUAUUUUUUACUUGAUGUGCAUUAUAUGUUUGAUGGAAUGCAGUGAAAUGUAUUCUUGAGAUUUAUUUAUUUAUGUUAUUUUGAUUACUGAAUAUUUUAAAAAAUAGAUUAGGAAUUAAUGAUGGAUUUUUUUUACCUAACAAAGUAGGAGUAGGUACAUAAAAUGUAAUUAUCUAUAUAUCAGGUAUACGCAUAGGUACAUAAAAUGUAAUUAUCUAUAUAUCAAGUGUACGCAUAAACAUCUACGUAAAAACUGGUUUUAAUAUACUAGUUAAAAAACAUUGAAUUUAUGAAACCCACUAGUUUUAUAUUUUUCAAAAUUUUAAAAGUUUUUAACUUACAAAAGCUAAAAAAUGUAUAUAAAGCCUCACAAAUAAACUUUUUCUUUUUUCUUUGUUAUUAAUUUUAUUUUAUGUACUAAUGUUGGUUUAAUUUUAUUAACCAUGUAAUAACAAAGUGACAGUAUGGUUAAUCAAUAGAUUUGAUUACUUGUUUCAAUUUGAUUUAGAACUUCUUUAUAUAUAUUUAUUAAAGUUAUUUUGAUUACUCAAUCUUUUGAAGAAAAAAAAAAAAAAGGAUUAAAGAAGUGAUAAAUUACUUACAAUGAGAUAUACGUGAGGUGAAUUUU
This 3047-nucleotide long non-coding RNA is filed under the name Amborella trichopoda. RNAcentral describes it as "long non-coding RNA (ATRI_LNC004606)". Lineage: Eukaryota; Viridiplantae; Streptophyta; Magnoliopsida; Amborellales; Amborellaceae. The record is from RNAcentral.